AGCGGAUUUGUUUGGUAAAUAUUUAGAGUUUAGCUGUUUCGCUUAAAUAAAUACCAGUACAGUCAGUUUUAGCAACAUUAAUUCUGUGAAAUAAUUCAUUUUCAGUCGGACUGAACAUCGCAGUUGUUCGAACGGUGAGACUGGACAGAAAUCUUCACGCUACAGUAUUGGAGGAAGGAAAAGAACACUAGGGGCAAGGGGGAUGCAGACUAGCUCCAUGUCAGUCAAAGAUGAAUAACCCCAAACUUGAUGACCUGAAAGGCCUGUAGUUAUGCACAUGGAGGAAGCUUCAUUAAAAUCUGUACUGAUGACGGUACUAAUGGCAUCACUGAUAUUUACACAGGCUGUAUGGUCCACCAGGCUGUAUGGCCCUUUUGUUAGGAGGAAUCACAAGGUCGGAGUGAGCGAGAGCUCUGUUCGAACCUUCAGCACAGCGGCCUGUAGCUGAGAGCAGGACAACAUGCUGCUCGAGCUGUUUACACUGUGUAUGCUCUCCGGCAGAAUUGCAUUAUGGGAAGGCAAGGCUCAGAUUCCCUCUGUGGAUCUGUCUGCAUUUUCUCAUGCAGCACCCCCCCAAACCCCCCAACCCCUAAACUGGCAGUAAUCACACUUUUGCUCAUACAGCCGUCCGGUGGACGGGGAGGAAGGCUCUGUAAAGCUGGGAGGUGGGGGUUCAGAAUGAAACUGGCAGGGGGAUUUUUGGGGUGUAAUGAAAGUUUUGAGCCCCCGUCAGGCCCAGAUGUGCAGCUCAAUGCGCACUCUCUCCCUGCCAGCCUGCCACCUGCGCCACCGCGCAACUGGCACAGCCCGCCACUUCCGCCCCACAAUUAUCCUCCCGAAUCUGACAGCUGGCACCGUGCCUUCCGUCCGCGCUCUUCACCGCUAAUUUAGCUGAUUUCCACCAGAGGGGACCCUCCAAAAACCCCGAAACCCAAAAACAAGCGGGGGAGGACUGUGAUUGGAGGAUGCGUCAGUAAAAAAACAGCGCCGCGGCGUGGGCGGCCCGUGGGAUCUUGGGAUACGCGAGGGAGGGAACCGUGGGCCUCAGAGGACGCCGCUGCUUCGACACUGAUAUCUGAGCCCUGACUCAAGGCAUAAAACCUGCAGCCCUGCCUGUGUUUUACCUGUGAGCUGUGAGCGGGCCCACUGAUCAUUACUGUUACUCUGUUUCUGCUACCGCAGCUAACGCUAAUGAAAACACAACGGAGGAAAACUGAAAAUCCAUCUGUGUGUGUGUCUGUGGGAGUGUGUGUGUGUGUGUUUGUGUGUGUGUGUGUGUGGGAGUGUGUGUGUUUGUGUGUGUGUGUGGGAGUGUGUGUGUGUGUGUGUUUGUGUGUGCGUGUUUGUGUGUGUGUGCGUGUUUGUGUGUGUGUGGGAGUGUGUGUGUGUGUGUGUUUGUGUGUGUGCGCUAGCACCUCCUGGAGGAGGGGAGGUGGUACAGCAGCACAGGGCGUAGGGCCUGGGUCCUGUCUUCCUAGGGCAGACACACCUGUGGCAGAAGUGUGCUGUUUCAGGUGAAGUAAUUAGAAUAUUACGCAUUUAGUUUUGCUUCUUUUAAUUAGAGUUAAAGUUUAUUUUUUUGUGCCUGAAGUGUUUGAAGACGAGCCAGAUCCCAGCCGUGUUUAAUUAUCUGAGAAACGUGCUGGUGGUGGAGCGCUGCUUUGUGUGAGAGACGCUGAGGGGCUCCAGGUGGCCUGUGUGCUGCCUGCGAUGCUGCCCUCCCUCCGGUGUCAAUUAGAGAGCUUUUCUUUCAGCUGCAAUAACCUCUGCAGUCAGAUCAGCCUUACUGCAUACACCG
Long non-coding RNA from Anguilla rostrata (American eel), 1798 nucleotides. RefSeq lists it as uncharacterized. The transcript has 3 exons. Lineage: Eukaryota; Metazoa; Chordata; Actinopteri; Anguilliformes; Anguillidae. The record is from RefSeq and is a predicted model, not a curated record.